This is an RNA transcript of Solanum pennellii, 1525 nucleotides long. It is a transcript of the gene named 1-aminocyclopropane-1-carboxylate oxidase homolog, with no coding region annotated. The record is from RefSeq and is a predicted model, not a curated record. The transcript is spliced from 3 exons. NCBI's taxonomy places the organism in Eukaryota, Viridiplantae, Streptophyta, Magnoliopsida, Solanales, Solanaceae.
AACUGAGUUAAUAGUAUAGAGCUGUUCUGUGUAGUUAGUUCUUUUAAUUAUUUCCAUUCUCCUAUAAAUGUAUUUUGUACUGCCAUCUUGUUUAUAACAUAAGAGAAAAAAAGAUGGCAGUCUACUGCAAAAAAGAUGAUUUCCAGGCCACAAUUCAGAUUAGCUAUGACAAAAUGAGUGACCUAAAAGCCUUUGAUGAUACUAAGGCUGGUGUCAAAGGGCUUGUUGAUUCCAGAAUCAAUGAAGUACCUCAAAUAUUCAUUCAACCGCCAAAAUACAGGGUGAAAACAUGUGAAACACACAUCAGUUUUCCAGUGAUAGACCUCAAAGGCAUUGAUGAGGAUCCGAUCAAGUAUAAGGAGAUUGUGGACAAAGUUCGAGAUGCAUCGGAGACAUGGGGUUUCUUUCAAGUGAUUAAUCAUGGAAUUCCAACAUCCAUCUCUAAUCAUGGAAUUCCAACAUCCAUCUUGGAAAAAACAUUACAAGGAACACCACAGUUUUUCGAGCAAGAUACUGAGAUCAAGAAACAAUAUUACACUCGAGAUAUUGGGAAAAAGGUGAUUUAUACUAGCAAUCUUGAUUUGUAUAUCCCUUCUGUUCCAGCUGCAAGUUGGAGAGACUCAAUUUUCUUUUUCAUGGCUCCGAAUCCUCCUAGUCCACAAGAAUUCCCAACAGCUUGCGGGGAAAUUCUAAUGAACUACUCAAGUAUGUGACGAAAUUGGGGUUCUCCUUGCUUGAAUUAUUGUCUGAAGGUCUCGGUCUCGAUCGUAGUUAUCUGAAAGAUUAUAUGGAUUGUUGCCAUCUAAGUUGCUUGUGCCAUUACUAUCCAUCAUGCCCUCAGCCAGAACUCACCAUGGGCAUCAGUCAACAUUCCGACACUGAAUUUAUCACGGUGCUUCUACAAGAUGAUAUCGGUGGACUCCAAGUUCUUCACCAAAAUCAAUGGUUUGAUGUUCCUCCUAUACGUGGUGCUCUUGUCGUCAAUAUUGGAGAUUUUCUGCAGCUCAUGUCAAAUGACAAGUACAUGAGUGUUGAGCACAGAGCAAUUGCAAACAAAGAUGGAUCAAGAAUGUCAGUUGCCUGCUUCUUUGGUGAAAAUCCGUUGCAAUCUUCAAAGCUGUAUGAACCAAUCACUGAAUUGUUAUCAGAAGAUAAUCCUCCAAAAUAUCACGCAACCACAGUAAUUGACUACAAAAAUUAUGUCCUAAAUAAAGGCCUAGAUGGAACUUCUGCGCUGUUGAGUUACAAGAUCUAAUAUAAUAAUGUACCAAUAAGUGGUGUUACACCUCUUCAUCAAAAUAAGGGGUGUUCUUAUCUUUUUUCAACGUAUUUAUCAACGAUAAGUUAGUAAAAAUACAUCUUAAUAUCUAAGAAGUAGUAGUUUUCUUAAAGGGUAUGCCCUAAAUAAAAGCAUCACUUAUUUAGAAAUGAAAGAACUAUUUAUAAUUUAGUUCGUUGGGUGUGAGUGUAACUACUACUGCUAUUGAAAAAUGAAAACUAGUUUGUGCAUUUCAUACUUACAAAA